GAGGAAUAUUGGACUAGGGCGAAAGCCUGAUCCAGCCAUGCCGCGUGAGUGAAGAAGGCCCUAGGGUUGUAAAGCUCUUUCAGUGGGGAAGAUAAUGACGGUACCCACAGAAGAAGCCCCGGCUAACUUCGUGCCAGCAGCCGCGGUAAUA
This 151-nucleotide ribosomal RNA is filed under the name uncultured Alphaproteobacteria bacterium. RNAcentral describes it as "partial 16S ribosomal RNA". It matches the Rfam family "Bacterial small subunit ribosomal RNA", at positions 356 to 525 of the family's 1533-position model. The record is from RNAcentral. Lineage: Bacteria; Pseudomonadati; Pseudomonadota; Alphaproteobacteria.